This 477-nucleotide ribosomal RNA is filed under the name uncultured bacterium. Its description in RNAcentral is "bacterial SSU rRNA". It matches the Rfam family "Bacterial small subunit ribosomal RNA", at positions 28 to 496 of the family's 1533-position model. The record is from RNAcentral.
GAUGAACGCUAGCGGCAGGCUUAAUACAUGCAAGUCGUGGGGCAGCAGGUUUGUAGCAAUACAGAUGCUGGCGACCGGCAAACGGGUGCGGAACACGUACAGAACCUUCCUUUGAGCGGGGAAUAGCCCAGAGAAAUUUGGAUUAAUACCCCAUAGUAUAAUGAAGUGGCAUCACUUUAUUAUUAAAGAUUUAUCACUCGAAGAUGGCUGUGCGGCUGAUUAGGUAGUUGGCGGGGUAAAGGCCCACCAAGCCUGCGAUCAGUAACUGGUGUGAGAGCACGACCAGUCACACGGGCACUGAGACACGGGCCCGACUCCUACGGGAGGCAGCAGUAAGGAAUAUUGGUCAAUGGAGGCAACUCUGAACCAGCCAUGCCGCGUGGAGGAUGAAGGUCCUCUGGAUUGUAAACUUCUUUUAUAUGGGACGAAAAAAGGCUUUUCUAAGUCGUCUGACGGUACCAUAUGAAUAAGCACCGG